Molecule: ribosomal RNA, 250 nt
Filed under: uncultured bacterium
Lineage: Bacteria
Description: partial 16S ribosomal RNA
Rfam family: Bacterial small subunit ribosomal RNA
Source: RNAcentral
UACGUAGGAGGCAAGCGUUGUCCGGAGUUACUGGGCGUAAAGCGUGUGUAGGCGGUUGGCUGCGUCCGGUGUGAAAUCGUCCCGGCUUACCUGGGAGGGGCAUCGGAUACGAGCGGACUUGAGGCAUCAGAGGCCAGUAGAACUCCCGGUGGUCCAGUCGAAAUGGUAGAGAUCGGGAAGAAUACCAGUGGUGCGAGACGGCUGGCUGGGUGUACCUGACGCUGAGACACGAAGCAUGGGAGCAAACAGG